UGACAAGAAUAUCAAAGGGUAGGAAUGGGAAUGUAUACAAUCAGCGUUGACGUUGUUUCAGAACGUUUCAGAAGCAUGAUGGGCGAUGGAGCUACCGCCAAAGGAUUCGUUGGUGUUCGGUAGAACUCGGCAGAGUCGUUUUUGGUCGUGACGCAGAUGUAACAUGGACGCCGCCGGUGACUACAACCAGCAUGGAUACCGGAUCUCAGCAGCCACUGAAUUCAGUUCGGUCUCCUCCAGUAUCCGUUCGAGAGGAGAACUAUGGUGGAAAAACUUAAUGUCAAAGAGCUUGGACCAGAUCAGCCCGACGUAAAGAUAAGCCAGCAGGAGAAGGAGAGAGAUAAGGCAUGGAUGAGUCAGGAGUUACAGACAUGAAACAUUUUUCUGAGAAGGUGAAGAAACACGAGUCAUCCCGGGCACACAUGGACAACAACACGGUGAAGCUAGCCAUGCUAGGCAGCAGAGCUAACGUUGCCAUGCAGGGAACAACAGCAGCUGGGUGCAGAGGUUUUUCACACCAUCCUGAGCCAUGCAAAAGAAGAUUCUUGUCACCACACCCAUGACCACAGCCGAAUCAGAAAGGUGCUUUUCUACUUUAAAGAGGAUUAAGACUUUCCUUGAGGAACACCAUGACACAGGAUGGGCUGAACGCUCUUGCCAUGCUCUCCAUGGAAAAAAAAGCUUGUCACAAACAUUCCUGACUUCAAUAAAAAGCUAAUCGAGAGCUUUGCCACUCAGAAGGGCAAAAUUUCUGUCCAAAUGAGGUAUCACACACACACAAAUGCAUCCACUUGAUCUUUGUAUAAAGUUGACCUUGGCACAACACUCCAGAAAUAUUUAACAGUGUAAAUUUCUGGCAUUUUGUCUAAGUGGUGUUUACUACCAUUACUGUAACAGUGACCUGCUCAUAAUUUUUCGUGUUCACUCAAAUGUUGAAAUUAAACAAAAUGUUUUUGUUACUUGCCUCUUGCAUUGCCUGUUUACCAUUUAUGGUCGUGUUAUUUUAUGUGCAAUUUAAUGCAGUAUUUUUCAACCUUGGUCUGCAAGGCAGCGUGCCAAUAGUCAGACACACCUGGAUUAAUCAGUUUGUCCAAUGAUGUAAGACAGGAAAUAAAAGAGCUGUGCUUAAUUCAGGAAAUAGUGGAGUUGUGCACAAAGCUCAGAAAGCACAAGUUUGUUUAAAAAUAAAAAAAUAGCACAGCCCCACCAAAAAUAUUUUUCACCAGCUGCCACUGUACUAAAGUAUUAAUUAUUUAACAAAAAAAAAAGCAAUUUAGGUCAAUAAGUUGAAAAUUAGAAUCACGUUAGUUAAUCAAUUCAAAAGUACCAUAGACCAUGUGGUAAUAAACAGGAAAAGGAACAAAAACAUCCAAAACAGUUUAAACUACAAUAACCAAAGCACUCAAUUAACACUUUCAGUAUUGGUCUAACAUUUUGCCAUCACAAUAAAAAAGACACGUUGCUAUUUAAUGAAUAAAAUCACUUAAUAGGAGUUGAAGCUAGUUAGCUAAGCUUUAGCUUAUCAGCAGUUUCAAUGGGCCAACUGUAGAGCCGCAUUUUUUGUGAAAAAAAAUCAAAACUAACAAAGCAAGUUACUCAGUGUCUAGCUGAUUAAAGAAGUACACAAUCUGAAAUUAAUCGGAAGGGUUGUCACAAGCUGUUAAGAAGUAUUCUUUGAAUAAGUAUCCAUCUCAUAGUACAGCACGAGUUGCGCUGGAUCAUAGACUGUAUGUUAAACCAUGGUGACAUCAGGCCGUUUUUAAAAUGCAAUUUUCUAUGUAGAUGGCUAGACAGCGCUCAUGUGCUGCAUAAUUUUUUUUGGCUUUUCUCUGCAAUUCACCGUUUCUUACUUCACCUUGCACUUCCCACUAAAACAGAAACCCACUGACAAAGACAGUAAAGUUAUAAAUUAAAAAUGAGAUUAAUGCAAUUAAACAGCAUAUCAUGAUAAAUAUGGCUGUAAUUAAUUAGUCGCUAAUAAUGUGAUAAUUUUACACCCCUUCUUAUUGUGUUUGUGUCUCUUGUGUCAGGAGUGACGUGGAAAAAAAUCAUCACCAUCUUCUGCAGAGCUGAUUCUAAACAAUAGCUGUUGAGGGGGUCCAUACACAUUUGGUGCAAUAACAUUUGUGUUUUGUCCCUGGGAACUUGAAGUCAUGGAGAAAAAUUCUGAAAUUUCCUAUCUUUUACAGGUACAUAACA
Molecule: non-coding RNA, 2199 nt
Organism: Nothobranchius furzeri (turquoise killifish)
Lineage: Eukaryota; Metazoa; Chordata; Actinopteri; Cyprinodontiformes; Nothobranchiidae
Source: RefSeq, a predicted model, not a curated record